This is a non-coding RNA of Caerostris darwini, 79 nucleotides long. NCBI's taxonomy places the organism in Eukaryota, Metazoa, Arthropoda, Arachnida, Araneae, Araneidae. The record is from the annotation of a GenBank genome assembly.
GGUUCCGUGGUGUAGUGGUUAUCACGUUCGCUUUACACGCGAAAGGUCCCCGGUUCGAUCCCGGGCGGAAAAUGUGUCA